RNAcentral lists this non-coding RNA (24 nucleotides) under Cricetulus griseus (Chinese hamster). The record is from RNAcentral. Lineage: Eukaryota; Metazoa; Chordata; Mammalia; Rodentia; Cricetidae.
ACAAAUGAGUCUGAGUGUAAGAGC